AUUGAACGCUGGCGGCAUGCCUUACACAUGCAAGUCGAACGGCAGUACGGGAGCAAUCCUGGUGGCGAGUGGCGAACGGGUGAGUAAAGUAUCGGAACGUGCCCAGUCGUGGGGGAUAACGUAGCGAAAGUUACGCUAAUACCGCAUACGAUCUAUGGAUGAAAGCGGGGGAUCGCAAGACCUCGCGCGAUUGGAGCGGCCGAUAUCAGAUUAGGUAGUUGGUGGGGUAAAGGCUCACCAAGCCGACGAUCUGUAGCUGGUCUGAGAGGACGACCAGCCACACUGGGACUGAGACACGGCCCAGACUCCGACGGGAGGCAGCAGUGGGGAAUUUUGGACAAUGGGCGCAAGCCUGAUCCAGCCAUGCCGCGUGCAGGGUGAAGGCCUUCGGGUUGUAAACUGCUUUUGUACGGAACGAAAAGGUUUGACUUAAUACGUUGGACUCAUGACGGUACCGUAAGAAUAAGCACCGGCUAACUACGUGCCAGCCGCCGCGGUAA
RNAcentral lists this ribosomal RNA (500 nucleotides) under uncultured bacterium. RNAcentral describes it as "partial 16S ribosomal RNA". It matches the Rfam family "Bacterial small subunit ribosomal RNA", at positions 30 to 523 of the family's 1533-position model. The record is from RNAcentral.